RNAcentral lists this ribosomal RNA (254 nucleotides) under uncultured bacterium. RNAcentral's name for it is "partial 16S ribosomal RNA". It matches the Rfam family "Bacterial small subunit ribosomal RNA", at positions 524 to 776 of the family's 1533-position model. The record is from RNAcentral.
CACGUAGGCACCAAGCGUUGUCCGGAUUUAUUGGGCGUAAAGAGCUCGUAGGCGGUUCAGUAAGUCGGGUGUGAAAACUCUGGGCUUAACCCAGAGCCGCCACCCGAUACUGCUGUGACUAGAGUCCGGUAGGGGAGUGGGGAACUCCUAGUGUAGAGGUGGAAUUCGUAGAUAUUAGGAAGAACACCAGUGGCGAAGGCGGCUCACUGGUCCGGUACUGACGCUGAGGUGCGAAAGCGUGGGGAGCAAACAGG